This 593-nucleotide ribosomal RNA is filed under the name Heppia despreauxii. RNAcentral describes it as "SSU rRNA". It matches the Rfam family "Bacterial small subunit ribosomal RNA", at positions 426 to 1200 of the family's 1533-position model. The record is from RNAcentral. Lineage: Eukaryota; Fungi; Ascomycota; Lichinomycetes; Lichinales; Porocyphaceae.
UAAAAUUCUGGCUAGAAUUUGAUUAUGACUUUUUCUAGUUAUUAGUCUUGACCAAAGCUCGUGCCAGCAGUCGCGGUAAAACGAGGAAGACGAGUGUUAUUCAUCUUAAAUAGGUUUAAAGGGUACCUAGACGGUAUUUCUAGCCAAAAUAGAUUUACUAGAGUUUUAUGUGAGAAAGAACUUAAGAGGAGAGAUACAAUUUUAUGAUACUGUAGGGACUAACAAAAGCGAAAGCAACCUUCUAUGUAUAAACUGACGUUGAGGGACGAAGGCCUGGGGAGCGAUAAGGAUUAGAGACCCUAGUAGUCCAGGCAGAAAAUUAUGAAUGUCAUAAACUAGAAAAAUUUUAGUUUAUAAAUGAAAGUGCAAGCAUUCCACCUUAAGAGUAAUGCGGCAAGGCAGGAACUGAAAUCAUUAGNCCGUUUCUGAAAUAAGUAGUGAAGUAUGUUAUUUAAUUCGAUAACCCACGAAAAACCUUACCACAAUCUGAAUACUAGUGUUGCAUGGCUGUCUUCAGUUAAUGUCGUGAGAUACAAUUAACGUAAACCCUUUCUUUAUUUUUCGAAAAGGGAUUAAGACAAGUCCUCAUGACC